CUAAGUAGUAGUGCCGCAGGUAAGAACGUAAAUUACCUGCACAUUGCUGCUUAUUC
This 56-nucleotide microRNA precursor is filed under the name Xenoturbella bocki. RNAcentral's name for it is "Xbo-Mir-252-P1g_pre stem-loop". It matches the Rfam family "mir-252 microRNA precursor family", at positions 9 to 70 of the family's 77-position model. The record is from RNAcentral. Lineage: Eukaryota; Metazoa; Xenacoelomorpha; Xenoturbellidae.